UUAGCUAGUUGGUAAGGUAACGGCUUACCAAGGCGACGAUCAGUAGCCGACCUGAGAGGGUGAUCGGCCACAUUGGAACUGAGACACGGUCCAAACUCCUACGGGAGGCAGCAGUGGGGAAUAUUGCACAAUGGGCGAAAGCCUGAUGCAGCAACGCCGCGUGAGUGAUGAAGGCCUUCGGGUCGUAAAACUCUGUCCUCAAGGAAGAUAAUGACGGUACUUGAGGAGGAAGCCCCGGCUAACUACGUGCCAGCAGCCGCGGUAAUACGUAGGGGGCUAGCGUUAUCCGGAUUUACUGGGCGUAAAGGGUGCGUAGGCGGUCUUUCAAGUCAGGAGUGAAAGGCUACGGCUCAACCGUAGUAAGCUCUUGAAACUGGGAGACUUGAGUGCAGGAGAGGAGAGUGGAAUUCCUAGUGUAGCGGUGAAAUGCGUAGAUAUUAGGAGGAACACCAGUUGCGAAGGCGGCUCUCUGGACUGUAACUGACGCUGAGGCACGAAAGCGUGGGGAGCAAACAGGAUUAGAUACCCUGGUAGUCCACGCUGUAAACGAUGAGUAC
This 557-nucleotide ribosomal RNA is filed under the name Clostridioides difficile. Its description in RNAcentral is "bacterial SSU rRNA". It matches the Rfam family "Bacterial small subunit ribosomal RNA", at positions 241 to 816 of the family's 1533-position model. The record is from RNAcentral. Lineage: Bacteria; Bacillati; Bacillota; Clostridia; Peptostreptococcales; Peptostreptococcaceae.